RNAcentral lists this small nuclear RNA (107 nucleotides) under Prolemur simus (greater bamboo lemur). The record is from RNAcentral. Lineage: Eukaryota; Metazoa; Chordata; Mammalia; Primates; Lemuridae.
GUGCUCGCUUUGGCAGCACAUAUGCCAAAACUGGAACGGUACAGAGAAGAUUAGUAUGGCCCCUGCACAAGGAUGACACGCAAAUUUGUGAAACGUUAUUUAAAAAA